ACCCGAUUGGCACAAUCGGCUAGCGCGUUGGACUGUAUGUUUGAAUCCCUUCUCUCUUUUCUGCCGGUGUCUCUGUGAAGAGCUCGACUAACAGCGAAUUAGUUUAAUCCAAAGGUUAUGGGUUCGACCCCCAUAUCGGGUG
RNAcentral lists this transfer RNA (142 nucleotides) under Ophiostoma piceae UAMH 11346. It matches the Rfam family "tRNA". Rfam says of the family: Transfer RNA (tRNA) molecules are approximately 80 nucleotides in length. Their secondary structure includes four short double-helical elements and three loops (D, anti-codon, and T loops). Lineage: Eukaryota; Fungi; Ascomycota; Sordariomycetes; Ophiostomatales; Ophiostomataceae. The record is from Rfam by way of RNAcentral.